Camelus ferus (Wild Bactrian camel) is the source of this 74-nucleotide transfer RNA. It matches the Rfam family "tRNA". Rfam says of the family: Transfer RNA (tRNA) molecules are approximately 80 nucleotides in length. Their secondary structure includes four short double-helical elements and three loops (D, anti-codon, and T loops). The record is from Rfam. NCBI's taxonomy places the organism in Eukaryota, Metazoa, Chordata, Mammalia, Artiodactyla, Camelidae.
GAGGGUAUAGCUCAAAAGGUAGAGCGCAUGCUUAGCAUGCAUUGAGGUCCUGGGUUCAAUCCCCAGUACCUCCU